RNAcentral lists this ribosomal RNA (253 nucleotides) under uncultured bacterium. Its description in RNAcentral is "partial 16S ribosomal RNA". It matches the Rfam family "Bacterial small subunit ribosomal RNA", at positions 524 to 776 of the family's 1533-position model. The record is from RNAcentral.
UACGUAGGGUCCGAGCGUUGUCCGGAAUUACUGGGCGUAAAGAGCUCGUAGGUGGUUUGUCGCGUUGUUCGUGAAAACUCACAGCUCAACUGUGGGCGUGCGGGCGAUACGGGCAGACUUGAGUACUGCAGGGGAGACUGGAAUUCCUGGUGUAGCGGUGGAAUGCGCAGAUAUCAGGAGGAACACCGGUGGCGAAGGCGGGUCUCUGGGAUAUUGCUGACGCUGAGGCACGAAAGCCAGGGGAGCGAACGGG